UACGGAGGGGGCUAGCGUUAUUCGGAAUUACUGGGCGUAAAGAGCACGUAGGCGGUUUAUUAAGUUGAAAGUGAAAUCCCAAGGCUUAACCAUGGAAUGGCUUUCAAAACUAAUAAGCUAGAGAUCGAUAGGGGAUGGCGGAAUUCCUAGUGUAGAGGUGAAAUUCUUAGAUAUUAGGAGGAACACCGGUGGCGAAAGCGGCCAUCUGGAUCGAUACUGACGCUGAGGUGCGAAAGCGUGGGGAGCAAACAGG
RNAcentral lists this ribosomal RNA (253 nucleotides) under uncultured bacterium. Its description in RNAcentral is "partial 16S ribosomal RNA". It matches the Rfam family "Bacterial small subunit ribosomal RNA", at positions 524 to 776 of the family's 1533-position model. The record is from RNAcentral.